This 329-nucleotide unclassified non-coding RNA is filed under the name soil metagenome. RNAcentral describes it as "partial contains 5.8S ribosomal RNA, internal transcribed spacer 2, and large subunit ribosomal RNA". The stretch from base 1 to 120 matches the Rfam family "5.8S ribosomal RNA", at positions 35 to 154 of the family's 154-position model. The record is from RNAcentral.
GAUGAAGAACGCAGCGAAAUGCGAUAAGUAAUGUGAAUUGCAGAAUUCAGUGAAUCAUCGAAUCUUUGAACGCACAUUGCGCCCCUUGGUAUUCCGAGGGGCAUGCCUGUUCGAGCGUCAUUAUAACCCUUCAAGCUCAGCUUGGUGUUGGGGCCUGCUGCACUGGCAGCCCUUAAAAUCAGUGGCGGCGCCAUCUGGCUCUAAGCGUAGUAAUUCUUCUCGCUAUGGAGUCCUGGUGGAUGCUUGCCAUCAACCCCCAAUUUUUCUAUGGUUGACCUCGGAUCAGGUAGGGAUACCCGCUGAACUUAAGCAUAUCAAUAAGCGGAGGA